GAUGAACGCUGGCGGCGUGCCUAAUACAUGCAAGUCGAGCGAACAGACGAGGAGCUUGCUCCUCUGACGUUAGCGGCGGACGGGUGAGUAACACGUGGAUAACCUACCUAUAAGACUGGGAUAACUUCGGGAAACCGGAGCUAAUACCGGAUAAUAUAUUGAACCGCAUGGUUCAAUAGUGAAAGACGGUUUUGCUGUCACUUAUAGAUGGAUCCGCGCCGCAUUAGCUAGUUGGUAAGGUAACGGCUUACCAAGGCGACGAUGCGUAGCCGACCUGAGAGGGUGAUCGGCCACACUGGAACUGAGACACGGUCCAGACUCCUACGGGAGGCAGCAGGAGGGAAUCUUCCGCAAUGGGCGAAAGCCUGACGGAGCAACGCCGCGUGAGUGAUGAAGGUCUUCGGAUCUUAAAACUCUGUUAUUAGGGAAGAACAAAUGUGUAAGUAACUAUGCACGUCUUGACGGUACCUAAUCAGAAAGCCACGGCUAACUACGUG
RNAcentral lists this ribosomal RNA (497 nucleotides) under uncultured bacterium. RNAcentral's name for it is "partial 16S ribosomal RNA". It matches the Rfam family "Bacterial small subunit ribosomal RNA", at positions 28 to 507 of the family's 1533-position model. The record is from RNAcentral.